Molecule: RNA transcript, 1677 nt
Organism: Vigna angularis (adzuki bean)
Lineage: Eukaryota; Viridiplantae; Streptophyta; Magnoliopsida; Fabales; Fabaceae
Gene name: pectinesterase inhibitor 10-like
Exons: 3
Source: RefSeq, a predicted model, not a curated record
UUCUCUACACUUAAAUGGCGCCAAAGAAACAAGGCAGUAGAAAAAAAGGCUCUGCGGCUUCCUCUAGAAAGUCCCCCUCCACAUCGUCAUGCCCCCCUACGUCAUCUUCUGGCCCCCCUACGUCAUCUUCUGGCCACCCUACGUCAUCGCCAGGCCACCCAACGUCAUCGUCAGGCCACCCAACGUCAUCGUCAGGCCACCCAACGUCAUCGUCGUCUACCCGCAAUGCGUCCGCAUCAACACCAUCGCCACCCAAUUCGUUUUCCGUAUCGCAACCGGUGCCAUUCUCAACAUCACCACCGGUGACGUCGCUGCCGUCGGACAGUUCGCCAUCGGCCAGUUCGUCGUCGGCGUCAACAGUCACUACGACUACCGUGUCCACCUCGACUUCGGCAUCCGCAACGACAUCAUUGUCCGCGGCAUCGGCGGCGUGGUCCACGUUGGCUUCGGCGGCAACGUCAGCGAUGUCAUCUCUAUCAAUAUCCGACGACCUAACUCUUACCGACGAAAUACCAAUUAAGCUGAACGGCAAGAAUUAUCUUGAAUGGAAUGAGAAAGUUGAAGCUGUCUUGAAAGCGCGCAAUCUGCUAGAGUUCGUGGAGAAGAUCUUCGAUCCUGAACCGUACGCAAGCGAGAGCGAUCGCGCGCAGAACAUCGAAAGCGAAAAGUUCCGGCGAUGGUUUGUUCAAGAUCAGAUGUUGCGCACGUGGUUGUUAUCGUCUAUGCGCAAAGACCUUGCUUCUUUGAUGACCGGAUGCCAAUACUCGUGGCAGGUUUGGGAAACGGUGAAAGAACUCUUCCAUUCUCAUUUGGCGGUGAGGGUUUGGCAACUUAGGUCAGAGCUGGGGACAAUAAGGAAAGGAAAUUUGUCUGUGUCUGAGUACGUUGGCAAGAUCCAAAGCAUUGUUGAUUCUUUGGCUGAAACAGGUAAUCCUGUGUCUGAAGAAGAUCACGUUGAAGCGGUCUUGGCAGGAUUGCCAAGGGAGUUUGACUCGGUCGUCAAAAUGGCGCGAAUGUUGGAGGGUCUCACUCCUAUCGCAGUUAGUAAUAUUGAAACCUGGUGUUUAGUCUUAGAAGAGAAAUAUACAAGUGAAUAUCGCCAUGUUGACGGUGGAGGAGGCCCUUCAACUCAAGAUGACGAACCAUCUUGCUCCCCUGAGUGUUCUACUGCUGAAAGAGGUCGUGGAAGUCGUAGACGAAAAGGCCAUGGUCGCGGUGGCCGCCAUCGAGGCAGGAACUAGGUAUUUUACACGCUAUUCUUGAACUUUGUUCGAUCAAGAACUCCAUUAUCAAGUUACUAUUUCUUUGGUUCAGCUACUUUAGGUUAACAAUCACUGGCUCGACGCAGAAGCUUGAAUCCGGUCAAAAAGAAUGUCAUUCUGGUUGGAGGGAUGAUUAUCUUGAUAUUAGUUACUGGGAAUCUAAACAUGAGAUUGGAGAACUCGUCAAACAAAGGCAUGCAAAACGUCAUUUCUUGUGUUAUCUUAUGAAUGUAGUUAGCAGUUGCACGCUAUCAUUACUAAGAUAACCUUGUUUUGACAGUACAUUACACAGUACUAGUAUCAUAACUGCCUCAUGUGUAAUAUCAUUUUCUCAACUACCUCUGUAAAAUAGACAAAAACAGAAUAUAAGAACAUCCCAAUAUUGCAUUUUUAGAAGAGUACUUUUUUAGAAAUU